Egretta garzetta (little egret) is the source of this 5518-nucleotide long non-coding RNA. RefSeq lists it as uncharacterized. Lineage: Eukaryota; Metazoa; Chordata; Aves; Pelecaniformes; Ardeidae. The transcript has 4 exons. The record is from RefSeq and is a predicted model, not a curated record.
UUGUAAACCUACUCACGUGUGUAACCCGAGGGGGCUCUUAGUAUUUAAUGUCAAGCCCUCGGCGCGCUUUUUUGGUCAGGGCAAGGUUGUAAAUACACCCAUCUCCCCGUUGUGUUGGCAGGCAAAGGUCACCAACAACAAGCGAGCGCCACGCAAAAUUCGAGGCGGGAAGUUGUACGAGGCAUAGACCACGGGCAUCUGUUUAUCAUUGUUGGAGCUGCAGGGAAAAAAGGGAAAAAAAAAAAAAACCUCUGGAUUUUGAGCCACUGGAGCGAAGGAAAGGGUCAGCGGGAGAGAGUGGUUGGAGAGGGUCUAGUGACAAAAUGAGGCUUUCCGUGCAGCCCGCUGGCAACGGUCAACCCCGGCCGCUGCAUCCCAGCAAGACGGAGGCUCCUGCUUCCUCCCAAGUUACGCCAGCAAAGCUGGAGGAAGAAGGAUGAGCAAGGUGGCAACGGUGGGUCACGGUGGGAGAAGAAAGAGUGCUACCACGGUGUGUUACCUAUCAGCACCACGCAAACAAAACAUUACCACGUGGAUACAAAAGUUUGCUUAGGAAGCAGAUACAUGACCAAGGCAGCUUUGAAGCCUUCCUGAAGAAUCCUCCUUCCUUCUGUAGGAUGUUUAAUCUUUCUGUGGAGUUUCUGACCGUGAACCUCAUUCUGCAGACUUCCAUUCUUGUGCCAUACAGAUGCGUAAGAAUUGCUCAGGUGAGUGAGAUGAGCCCUAAAUCGUCACUGGAGAAUGAAGAUGGGAGGAACGCAUGGGCCACAAGGGCAAAACAAAAGCUUUUUUGGCCGUCUUUUCCAGCUGGGAGGAAAGAAAAGUAAUUAUAGCUCAGUGGUAGGGAGAGAUGGUCCUUGUGGGUCCCUUCCAACUUGAGAUAUUCUAUGAAUUCUGUGAUUGUAAGUCUCAAAGCAAGGCUUGCUAAUAACGUGUUUGUCAGCCAGGUCUCCUGCAGGGAAGGGCUCUCUCCCAUGACACUGUUUAUGGGUGUUUCUGCAGUUCUCCUGGAAGGAGUCUCCACCACCGCAGAGAGCCAGUGCUGCUCUGCAGCGUUUGGUUUCCUGUGUUCCUUCCUGCUAAAGGACGCUUGUCCUGUGAGAUGCGGAGCAGCUCACUGAAGGGAGCUGGGGACAUCUUCCAGCAGAGAGCUACAGGAUCAGGAGAGGCACUGCAGUACACUGAAACCAGCUGGAAGAACCUGCAAUCUGCUACAGUUUCUUCUGUGACACAGUCUGUCCUUGCUUUCUCACUCUCAUUCCCCUGUGAAACCUAGGUUAUGGCCCUGCUUCCCUCUCGCGCUUUCUUUUUCCAGUGAGAACCACAAUUUCCUCCUGUUUUUGGAGAGGAAGCAAGGAUGCUUUGCAGCCUCCUGUUACACAACUUGUCCGUGAAGGGGCUAGGGAGAACCUGAAUACAUUCAGUUUGGUAAGAAUAAAGCUUACAUUAGUUUAUCGCUCUCACUGACGAUGAAACGGUUGCUCGCACGUGUAAGUACUCUGGCUUCCAGCUUGUGUACACGCGCAGUUCAGAGUAUCGGAAAUUAUCUCUAAAGGGCACACAGCGACACACAGUCUGAGUCUUAGUUCAUACGGUGGAAAAAAACAUGUUUGUGAGUACUGGUUUCCUCCAUAUUAGCUCUUACAACUUCAUCCUCUGCUGUCUUAUGUGGUUUCAGAUCUCCCUGAUGCUAUUUCCACUGGAGGGGCUUUCACAACAUCUUGCUCGCUCUCACACUCACAGACGCUCACAUGCGUGCCUUCUCUGGUGCUGGCUACGGGUGGAAUUCAUGUUGCCUCUCAUGUAGCAGAGCUCAGAUACGGUCUCCCUCUUCCCCCUUAUAGAACUGGAAUUGUUACUUUUUUGUCAAAUUUGGUUGAUGAUUGGGUAAUGGGUUAAAAUUAUGACUGACGUAUACAUAAACACCCACAGCAUGUAGGAUUGCCCUCAUUUCUCUGGUUAGCAUGGCUAUCUGACUGAAACUAUAUGUUACCAGACAACCCAGUCUGCGGAAAAAAAAAAAAAAUAGUACAUAACCUCAGUUAUUAAUCAUUUGAAGGAUAGCUGAAAGUCACCAUUGCUGGUUCAGCGAUGCGUCACAUCAGGAAUGUGAUUCUGUGUGCCGUAUGUGCCAAUAACCAGAAGAAAAACAGCUUGAAAACUGGGGAUAUAGGUCAAUGUGAGGGUAAAUUGGACCCCGAUCCUAGACAGAGCGCCACAUGGGCAGAUCCGUCUUUGCAUGAGGUGGGUGCAGGGAUUUGUGGGUAAGGACUUCACUGCUGUGGUGCCUUAGCUGCCACUUUUAGCAUUUAGUGCUAUGCUAAAAAAACCCAAACAGAAAUCACAUUAGCAGAGUCAAAACUGUUGUUAGCAGAAUCAGAGUUGCUUUUAUUUUCAGGGUCACUACACUCAGCACUAUGUUACAGAAAAAGGAUGAACCCAAUAUGGAGUUGCUGAUAAUUCCUGAGUUGGUUUGACAUAUGCAGACUGCUGUCGACUUCAACAGGCUUAUUUAACACAUUUGUUUCUUCUGGCUUUAGGAUUAGUCAACAUGCGAUUUUGUGAAGCUAUACCAAUGAGGUUGCAUAUUGUGGGCUGCAGGCCUGGAGUUGCAGGCUUGGGGUUGCACAGGUGUAUCAGCAGAAAGACUUCGGCUUUAGCCAGCAAUUAACCACAAUUAGGGCAGUUAACCUCUUCAGAACUCUCAACAUUUUUACAUUAUUUAAAUUCUGUUCAUAAAAAAAAAAAAAAAGACUCCCAAGCAGGCAGUAGCACUCAAAGUGAAGAUCUGGGGAAAUAAAUGGCCGAAGCUAUCAUACCGUGACAGCUUUGGCAAACCUUUACACAGUUUUGUAGAGCAAACACAUGUGAUGUUCUCUUCUCUGGGUAGGUCUUUAUGCUAGCAGUUCAUACUUAACACAAAAAAUGAAUAAAAUGGUUCUCUCUCUCCACAUAUUUACUGAGCACAUACUGGUGAAUUAAGUAUCAUCCCAGCAGUGUACUAUGACAGCCAUGCUCUGUCAACGCAUUUAAACGUACAGCAGUCCUGCGGGCCUUUCCCGUCCUCUCUGAUGUGCAUAGCCCAGGGAAGAUGGAGAUCAUUUCAGCCUGUAUUGUGGACUUAAUGUUCAAAGGAGCUAAUUUCCCUGAGUCUCAAGAAUCACAGAAAAUAAAAUAAUUGUAAGGGGGCUUGCUCUUCUUUUCAACAGGUACGAAAUGUGCCAGUAGACUCUGAUAGCCGAGUGUUACUUCAUUUGCUUUCAACCCUGACAUCUGAGCUUCUUUUGCUCUUUAUGAACUAUUUGAGGUUUUCAUGUUCAGUUAAGAGCAGAUAUAUUGAAAACUGCUGAAGUUUCGCCCUGUUUUGGACCUGGGGCCCAGGGAGAGGGUGGUGAUGAUUAAAAACACUGGCACAUACCAAAUCAAAGUUAUACCAGAUCUGACUGAUUGUUUAACAGUUGGCCAAUAGCAGUGUUAAAAGCAAGAAGGAAAACCGCAGCGUUAUUCAUUAAUUUGUACUCAUAUAUGUUCUGUUGCUCUUAAACUUCCAAGAGAUCACAGAUUCAUAAAUUAACAAAACCAUUACAUAUAAUUACAUAUAAUACACGUUACAGGAAUAUAUAAUCCACAGAACCUUCCCCAAAAUCCAGCAAAAUAACAAGGCAAAUUGAUUAAAAAUGCUUGAUCAUGUGUGGAACGAAGGAAAAAAAGUAAGAAUGUUUAUUUCUCACACAAGGCUUUCAGUGAACCAAAGGUAGAUCCAGAACUUACUUUGUCAAUACCCUUUGGCUUUUCAUGGGUAACUGGCAGGUAUGAGGAACGACAGCAAAUUCGGCCCCUGUUACAACUGUUGUGUUACAGUUACACCAGCGGGACCAAAUUACAACCUUGUCAUUCUGGGUUCUCUAUAGGUAAAGAAGGGUAAAGCAGGGUCACGAUGAGGUAUAGGCAGUGUCACAGCACAGAGGAUGCCCUAGCUUGGGAGGGAAACCGUUUGACUCUAAAUGUGGUAAUGGUACUGGGGGACUGUGAGGAAGAUUUGUUACUUAGGUUCAUCUUUGAUUCAGUAUUUCUUGGUUUCUCUUUCAAAUAGGUAAACAGGUAAAAGGCAAGCAUACUCCAUAAUGUUAACAUGAGAAUAUUGUUUCAGAGAUUUGUUUUGGGGUUUUGCAGCAGAUGAUUGUUUGGUGAGACAGAGCCUUUUAUAGAAACCAGACUAUUACUUGUAUUCUUUGGCAUUUCCAUUUAGAAAAGCUACUCAUGUUUACACACACAGACACACACACACACACACGAUAUUGUUCAUAUAUAUUGUUCAUCUGGUAAGGAAGAAGUAAAAGAAAUUGAUACCAGCCUGCAUAUGUGUUCAAAAGCUUAGUGAAUUCUUCAAGCUCUGGUGUGGAUCACAUUUCAUGAAACUGCAAUAAAAAAAAUCCUUUUUCACCUUGUCUUUGUGUGUUCUGAGGUGGGUUUGUACGGUUUGAAUUACUAGGUAAUCACCAAGAAGUCUCCUUUUCAUGAGCCUGCAGCUGGGAAAUGGACAGUUUAAUAUUAAUGGAAAGAACAAACUCUCCUUCUCCUUUCUCUCCCCUUUCUUCUCUGCACCUCUGCUUCAUCAUUUUCUUCUCUAAGGUCCCUAGCCUGAAAUUGCCUUUGUGGGAGCCUGGGAUGAACUAAAAAGCAAGAGCAGAGCCCGUUUUUUCAAAAUCCCAUUUAUCGACUUGAGUGAGCGUCAUAUGACACUAACUUACAACUAUUCAAGAUCGAAAAAUCCAAUUCAUUGAUGUAUCUGCAAUUAUUUAUUCAACUCGGAAACUAGUAUCAAAUGAAUAUUCAGGCUUCCCUUAUGAAAUGCUUACUAAAUACUCUGCCAUCACCAUGCCAGUAUGGAAAUAAUCACUUCUGGCUUCUAGAAGAAGAAAACUAUUAAACGUUUAUUGAAAAUGAAUGGGCACAAACGGUUGAACUUUAGUAGAAGUAAACGGUAGCACCGUGUCUGUAAUAUGGUAUGUGUCCACGCCUGUGCCGUCUGGACAGCAUGAAUGUCUUUAAAGGUGCCAUUAACUUCCACCGUCUAGUGAUGUAUCUAGGAAGGUUUCUGGAUAACACACCUUCCACCGCUGCUUGCUUCUAGGUCCGUUCUGGCUUCACUUUCAAAGAAGUUCAUCAAGGAAGCAAAGUUAAUUGCCAAAGUUUAGCACAUGGCAAUUUUUUAGAUUAAAGGACACUUAUUCAUAUUCUUUCUCAUUUAAGCCAACUGCUGGAAAUCCAGUGCGAUGAAUGAGAGAGGGCAACCCCAAUGCAGGGUCUCCAGGGACUGCAAGGUCUAAGGCAAACAUGAAGUUAACCCUUUUUAGGCUUUCUCCCACAAAGGAACUCUGCACGUGAAGGGAUGUGAGAGCCUGUUGGGAGACUACAGAAGUCACGGGUCCGGACUGAACUGAGAGCUCCAAAAGGUUUCCCAUUUCUCCAGUUUUGGAUAUAAAUGGUACAUUUGAAUAAAAACCUUUGCUGAUGA